Small nuclear RNA from Suncus etruscus (white-toothed pygmy shrew), 104 nucleotides. NCBI's taxonomy places the organism in Eukaryota, Metazoa, Chordata, Mammalia, Eulipotyphla, Soricidae. The record is from RefSeq and is a predicted model, not a curated record.
GUGCUCGCUUCGACAGCACAUAUACUAAAAUUAGAAUGAUACAGAGAUUAGCAUGGCCCCUGUGUAAGGAUGACAUGCAAGUUCAUAAAGUGUUCCAUAUUUAA